UACGUAGGUGGCAAGCGUUGUCCGGAUUUACUGGGCGUAAAGAGCGCGCAGGCGGUCGUUCAAGUCGCGUGUGAAAGCCCCCCGGCUCAACUGGGGAGGGUCACGCGAUACUGAUCGACUCGAAGGCAGGAGAGGGUAGUGGAAUUCCCGGUGUAGUGGUGAAAUGCGUAGAUAUCGGGAGGAACACCGAUGGCGAAGGCAGGUCUCUGGGCAUUAACUGACGCUGAGGAGCGAAAGCAUGGGGAGCGAACAGG
Molecule: ribosomal RNA, 254 nt
Filed under: uncultured bacterium
Lineage: Bacteria
Description: partial 16S ribosomal RNA
Rfam family: Bacterial small subunit ribosomal RNA
Source: RNAcentral